GAUGAAGAACGCAGUGAAAUGCGAUAAGUAAUGUGAAUUGCAGAAUUCAGUGAAUCAUCGAAUCUUUGAACGCACAUUGCGCCCCUUGGUAUUCCGAGGGGCAUGCCUGUUCGAGCGUCAUUAUAACCCUUCAAGCUCAGCUUGGUGUUGGGGCCUGCUGUAACUGGUAGCCCUUAAAAUCAGUGGCAGUGCUAUUAGGCUCUAAGCGUAGUAAUUCUUCUCGCUAUAGUGUGUAGUGAGCGCUUGCCAGAACCCCAAACUUUUAUAUGAUUGACCUCGGAUCAGGUAGGGAUACCCGCUGAACUUAAGCAUAUCAAUAAGCGGAGG
RNAcentral lists this unclassified non-coding RNA (327 nucleotides) under soil metagenome. RNAcentral's name for it is "partial contains 5.8S ribosomal RNA, internal transcribed spacer 2, and large subunit ribosomal RNA". The stretch from base 1 to 120 matches the Rfam family "5.8S ribosomal RNA", at positions 35 to 154 of the family's 154-position model. The record is from RNAcentral.